GAUGAACGCUGGCGGCGUGCCUAAUACAUGCAAGUCGAGCGAACAGACGAGGAGCUUGCUCCUCUGACGUUAGCGGCGGACGGGUGAGUAACACGUGGAUAACCUACCUCUAAGACUGGGAUAACUUCGGGAAACCGGAGCUAAUACCGGAUAAUAUAUUGAACCGCAUGGUUCAAUAGUUAAAGACGGUUUUGCUGUCACUUAUAGAUGGAUCCGCGCCUCAUUAGCUAGUUGGUAAGGUAACGGCUUAACAAGGCUCCGGUGCGUAACCGACCUGAGAGGGGGGACAGGCACACUGGAACUGAGGAACCGGCCCGGCUCCUACGGGAGGGAACAGGUAGGAAAUCUGCAGAAAUGGGGGAAGGCCGGACGAAGCAACGCGGCGGGGGUGAGGAAGGCCUCGGGUUGGAAAACCCUUGUUAUGGGGAAAAAAAAAAGGUGUAAGUAACGAUGCACGUCUGAACGGAACCAAAUAAGAAGACCCCGGUUAAUUAGGU
RNAcentral lists this ribosomal RNA (497 nucleotides) under uncultured bacterium. RNAcentral describes it as "partial 16S ribosomal RNA". It matches the Rfam family "Bacterial small subunit ribosomal RNA", at positions 28 to 506 of the family's 1533-position model. The record is from RNAcentral.